This 350-nucleotide long non-coding RNA is filed under the name Olea europaea subsp. europaea. The record is from RNAcentral. Lineage: Eukaryota; Viridiplantae; Streptophyta; Magnoliopsida; Lamiales; Oleaceae.
AUAUUGGUUGCGGGUCUGGUAGUUUUAGUGCUCGUCUUCUAUCGCUUAAGCUGAUGUGUGACAGCAUAUGAGCCAACAGGUAGACAUGUUCAAUUGGCAAUUGAUAGAGGUCUCCCUUCAAUCACAACUUAAUCUAAAGACAGCUCCCUCUUCAUCCUUGUCAUAAGAAGUGGUUCACUGCACUCACUGUAGCAAUGGUCUGGGAUAACAAAGGUAUGAUCCUCAUUAAGUUUUGGGGUUUUGUUUUUUUCCAUUAAAUCACCAUUUCUUCAUCAGAUUAAGUGCAGUGGUUUUUAUUGAUUUUUCACCGAUGAAAAUACUUGAAAAUAAUUUGACAUUUAGCCUAAUGU